CUGCAUAUGCAGGAAUCCGUGUGUUACCGCCCUUUCACGGCGGUAACAGGGGUUCGAUUCCCCUUGGGCGUACCA
Molecule: transfer RNA, 75 nt
Filed under: Mesorhizobium sp. B3-1-1
Lineage: Bacteria; Pseudomonadati; Pseudomonadota; Alphaproteobacteria; Hyphomicrobiales; Phyllobacteriaceae
Also listed under: 5 other names
Description: tRNA-Glu
Source: RNAcentral